GGACCCACCUGAUUCCAUGCCGAACUCAGAAGUGAAACACAAUAGCGCCGAUGGUAGUGUGGGGUUUCCCCAUGUGAGAGUAGGACAUCGCCAGGC
RNAcentral lists this ribosomal RNA (96 nucleotides) under Vibrio splendidus. Lineage: Bacteria; Pseudomonadati; Pseudomonadota; Gammaproteobacteria; Vibrionales; Vibrionaceae. The record is from RNAcentral.